This 266-nucleotide ribosomal RNA is filed under the name uncultured bacterium. RNAcentral's name for it is "partial 16S ribosomal RNA". It matches the Rfam family "Bacterial small subunit ribosomal RNA", at positions 793 to 1055 of the family's 1533-position model. The record is from RNAcentral.
GUCCUAGCCGUAAACGGUGCACGUUUGCUGUAAGUGGAUUCGAACCCACUUGUGGCGUAGCUAACGCGAUAAACGUGCCGCCUGGGAAGUACGGUCGCAAGAUUAAAACUCAAAGAAAUUGACGGGGCCUGCACAAGUGGUGGAGUAUGUGGCUUAAUUCGAUGCAACGCGAAGAACCUUACCUGGCCUUGACAUGCAUCUAGUAGAAGGGUGAAAGCCUGACGAGGUAGCAAUACCAGGAUGCACAGGUGCUGCAUGGCUGUCGU